AGCGUAAUCACGUUAGCUCGUUUCACGACUAAACUCUUCUCUUUGCAUCCAGGUCUUCGAGCUCCUGAUGGCUAAGUACCAGCGAAACAGGAAUACAACAAGAAGGCUAGGAGCAGUACAUUGUUGAUUGGUGUCCUCACAGAACAUGACUCAGUCUGGACUAUACUCACAUAAGCAGCUCCACAAAGCGAAUGUUCUUGUUCAGUCCUUCAAUUGCAUUCAUCUCAGCAUCAGAGAGAGAGAAAUCAAAGAUCUGCGGUUUUAAGAACAGACUUUGAGGACUGAAGCUCUUGGGGAUGACCACCACUCCUCUCUGCACAUUGAACCUCAGGACCACCUGCGCUGGACUCUUAUUAUACUUUUUAGCAAUUGACACCAGUAACUCAUCUUCCAGCAAUGGAGGACACGAAAGGUUUACCCUGUAGAAAUGUUUGGUUGGUCACUACUUGUAUGUUUUUUCUUAGGAAAUAAAAAAAUGCUUUUUAAUCAGCUGUUAAAAUUAGGACUGAGAAUACAUUGUCUUUUAAUGGUUACAAGAUUAGAUUACGUAAGAGUUUAUUGAUCCCACAACAGGAAAAUUCAAUGCUCGAGGCCACAACAGAAUAAAGUGCAAGAAAAAGUGUGCAUGCAUAAAGAUGGUGCAAAAACAAUAUAAAGUAAUACUAAUAGCGAUAAACACUAUACAGACCAUAUACAUAUUUUCAACAGUGGAAUUGCAGAAUAUCAGACAGUACAGGUGAGAUGCAUACAGAACAGGGUUACAUUGUUGUGUUGUACUAUCUGACAUCUGAAUUUGAUGAGUAGGUAUUUUUCAUACCAGGAUGCAUCCCUAGAUGUCCCCAAAGGGCUAUAUCCCACAAUAACAAUGUCCUUUUGGCGGCAGAAGUCCAGCAAUUUUGGCUGGGUGAAAUAGGGAUGGCACUCAACCUAGGAAGAAAAAUAAAUAAAUAAAACUAAGAGAAAAGCUCAAAUAGUUCAUUAGUCUGUUGUCUGUUUAUUGGCUUUGAUGUGUUUCCAUGUCUUUUCUAGAUUUUGUCAACGCCUUAAUUCAUUUGUCUUACCUGGUUUGACACAGGUUUGUAUUUAAGUCCAGGUUUGUUCAGGAUUAACUCCAGUUGGCGUUUGUUGAAAUUGGACACUCCAAGUGAUUUAAUAAUCCCAGCAUCUUUACAGGCUUCCAAUGCCUUUAGAGGAGAAUUUGACAAAUGUAAUCCACAAGUAGGUAUAGCCAGCUGGCAAAAA
Molecule: long non-coding RNA, 1242 nt
Organism: Sphaeramia orbicularis (orbiculate cardinalfish)
Lineage: Eukaryota; Metazoa; Chordata; Actinopteri; Kurtiformes; Apogonidae
Exons: 3
Source: RefSeq, a predicted model, not a curated record